CUACUCAUACACCAGUUGUUCGAAAGGUAGCCCGGAAACGGAGUGGGAGUGCAAUUCUGAGAGAACCCGCAGCUCUGUCUCAUAAGAAGCAAAGGGUGGCAGAACCGGAGACAACUGCAGCCGCAUCCAUUUCCUCCCAAAAGGAUUUGGACACUGACAUGGUAAAUAUACAGUCUCUAGAUUCAUUCUCUCCACAGAAUGCAUUUAUUGAAAUUGGCCGUCCGACCGCGGUAUCCUGUAAAGAGUCAAGCACACAACUAGCACUCACGCUAGCAGAACCUUUGUCUUUUAAUUCUUCACUUAGAGAGAGCACAGAUAUUCAAAAAUUGUCAUAUGAAAAACUUUCUGAUCACUCUUUCUUUUUGGAUCAGGCUAUACUUGGCAACCUGCAAGUACAUCAGCCUUCACAGGCAUCUGAAGGACAAUUUGUUCCUUCACAACCUACAGUUCCAUCUCAGGGAACUAUGGUUGUAUAUACAGGUACUGGUGACGGUGUGACAAACACGAGUGAAAUCAGGCAAACACCGAGCGAAACACAUGCACGAGAGGAUAGUGAUAAAUCUUUGAGUGUUCGUGAGGUGAGUGCACACACCAACACUGAUCUGUUACAGGAACAAUUGGCUGCUCUGAAAGCUGAGAUUUCAAGGUUGAAUGCUGAGAAUGCCAG
This 667-nucleotide long non-coding RNA is filed under the name Daucus carota (carrot). Its description in RNAcentral is "long non-coding RNA (DCAR_LNC006761)". The record is from RNAcentral. Lineage: Eukaryota; Viridiplantae; Streptophyta; Magnoliopsida; Apiales; Apiaceae.